AUACGUCACUGGUGUGACUGGGAAAGUCAAUUAUGGCUGCCGGCGGGCUGCCGCCAUCUUUACGCCCGGCGUCGCCAGCGCAUGCGCGUAGCGGCCUCGGUGAGCGGUGCGCGCAGUUACCCCGUGUCGUACGCGUGUUGGAUACAGUCGUGUGCAGAGAUGCUGUGCCGGUUGAGCGUUAGGUGGCUGCAGCCGCGACCUGCCCUGCAGCUCCGGGGCUUGGGCCCACCGGUCGUACCGGCCCCCACCGGCGGCGCCAAGCCCUCCGCUCUGCCAUUGUGGGCGGUGGCAUCAGUCUCUGCAGUUGGCCCGAGCGGCGCGGGUGGCUGGUAUGAAGCCCUGGCUACGUCGGCGCCGGUGCAGGGCGCCGAGGACGUACUGCUCUUUGCGCACACCGCCUCGGGCCUACCCUGGUGGGGCAGCAUUCUUCUCACCACCGUGGCCCUGCGCGGCGCUGUCACGCUGCCCUUGGCCGCCUACCAGCACUACAUCCUGGCCAAGGUGGAAAAUUUGCAGCCAGAAAUAAAAAGCAUUGCAAGGCACCUUAACCAAGACGUUGCAGUUCGUGCAAAUCAGUUGGGGUGGUCCAAAAGAGCUGCCAGGCUCACUUAUCUAAAGACUAUGCGGAGGCUUGUUUCAGAACUGUAUGUUCGGGAUAACUGCCACCCUUUCAAAGCCACUGUGUUGGUCUGGAUUCAGCUUCCAAUGUGGAUAUUCGUGUCUGUUGCUCUCCGGAAUUUUAGCACAGGGGCAACACAUUCAGAAGGUUUUUCUGUUCAGGAGCAGUUAGCUACUGGUGGGGUCCUAUGGUUUCCUGACCUCACUGCCCUGGAUUCCACUUGGAUUCUGCCUGUCUCCAUUGGUGUCAUCAACUUAUUAAUAGUGGAGAUUUUUGCUCUGCAAAAAGUUGGAAUGUCUCGUUUCCAGACAUAUAUUACGUACUUUGUUCGUGCACUAUCAGUGUUGAUGAUUCCAAUUGCAGCGACAGUACCUUCAUCGAUUGUUCUCUACUGGUUAUGCUCCAGCCUCAUGGGCCUUUCACAGAACUUGCUGCUGCGUUCUCCUAGAUUUCGCCAACUUUGUCGAAUACCGUUGACCAAGUCAGAUUCAGACACUCCUUAUAAAGACCUCUUUGCUGCCUUUUACGCCAAGUUUAUUUCAAGAAAAUGACAUACUUUCUAGUGAUUUUGAAACAAUUACAAGUUUCACUGUUAAUGUAUUUAGAAGAUUUAGAAAUUCAGAUAUGGUUUAAUUUGCUUUUUAAAAUCAUGAGCUCUGUGAAGUACUGUGGAUUAAGAUAUAAUCCAGAUAUAUUUGAUAGUACUUAAAAUCUUUUAAGUGCUAAAAAUGUAGUAUGUUCAGUUAUAUAAAAGUGGGAUCAAAGUGUCGGGCCCUGUUUAUAAAAUUACAACUUGCGAGAGGUGCUAGAACUUUGGAGAACAGGACUAGAGAAGUUUUAUAAAAUAAAAGAAUCCAGUGAAGUGAUUUUUAAAAUUUUGAGGGUGUGGAGGAUCAUAGACCCGGUUGAUCAUUUAAUAAAGCCAUGGUUUUCUCUUCAGAAAAGUCCUGGAACUCACAACAUGGAGGCCUUUAUUGACCCCCCUUCUGGUAAUUCCUGGUUAAUAAGUAUUAUUCUAAUGGAACAUACAUCGAUGAUGAGUUAAUGUGUGAUUUUAAAAUGAAAAGGACUUGAGGUACAUGCAGUGGAGUAGUCCACGCAUGUAAGAAAGUACCUAAUAGGGUAGGUAGUGUUGCUUCUCAACCUUGCUCUGAAGGAAUACAAAAAUUGUACAUUUCCUUUCUCUGUAAUUUAAGGAGUCUAGAAUACAGAGCAUAGAACUAAGUACUGCUAGAGCCCAAAGUAGAAAAUCUUAAGCUAAUCAUAUAGAAUAUGAAGGAACCCAAUAUCUCGGAUAAUCCUUUAAGAAAGUGAAAAACUGGUACUAGGGUCAAGGUUAUGCUAAUUGGGAGACUCCUUUAGACCUGUACACCUUGGUAUGAUAAUGCAUAACAUUAAAUUGGUCUGAGGAUCUUAUAUUUUACAAAAUUCUUAAUUUCAUAGCUUGGAAAAAAGGAUCAAAGUAAAUUUUAAAAGCUCAAAAGAUCAGGAUAGUAUUUAGCAAGUUUUAAAAAUAAUGACUGAAUACAUGAAGUUACAUUAGUUACACUAUUACUAGAAAUUAAAUAGUAGGUGAAGAAUCAUCUCAUUCAGCCAGAGAGCAUGCAUAUGAACAUUGUGUAUUCAGUCAUUAGAGAAUAUAGGUAGAUCACAUAAUUGUGAAAUAAGCUUGUUGUGCAGAAUUCUGGAGACAGAGCUGUUUGAGUCUUUCCUGUCAUCUCAAAGUACAGUAGACCCUUCUGUCUUCCUAGCCCCAAAGCCACAACCAUUAAGAGCUUCAAACUGUCAGCAGCUAGAAUCCCAACAAACAGCUGAACCAGACUUCAUUAGAUAAGGACUAACAUAGCCACAGGGAAUGAUUCUGUGACUCUUGAACAUAUUAACUUGACUGUAGUCGUUUGUGGAAUACAGUUUCAAAGUAAAAGGGACUAUUAGAAAACUUUGAACUUUAUUUGGUAAUUGUAUUGCUCUUGUUAAUAUUGCAUUGCUGUUUUGGAACUCUUAUUGUCAGGUAAAAUAUAUAAUGAUGUUUACUGGUAUAUUUGUUUUCUGUGGAUGCUGUUAACAAAAUCUUUAUGCUGCUUAUGCACCAGGAGGAAGAUGCUAUUGAAUGUAUUUGAUAUUAUAAGAUAUAUCUCUUUCAAAUUUUUCUUUUAAGAGAGAGAUUUAGGGAUUGCCCCUGAGGUCCUACAAAAGAGGGUCCUCCCCACAGUUCUCCACCGGUAUACUCAGAAAGCCUAGCCUUCAUAUCUGUUUCACCUAAGACCUUCCACAAUCUCAGUUAAGAACUGAUGAAAUAAAAUUCAUGUUUUACGGCAAGAUGAGAAAAGUUUAAACAUAAAUUUUUUCUUUGUCCCUUUGGGCCUCCUCCCUCCCCUUUAGCAGGUAUUGUGCAUCUGCAUUAACCAGAGCUCUUUAGGAGAUGACAUUCCUUAAUCUCAUUAAGGGACACUGACUCUUAGGAGAUAACCUUCCUUCUUGUAAGGGACCAUGAUGACUCAUGACCCACUGUUUGCUUUGUACCUGUAGGUCUGGAUUGUGUAAACUGUUAAUAAUAUGUCGUAUGACAUAAACCCUUUGUCUCAAAAACGUACAUAACUGUGCUUUGACCCCUAAUUGGCAGAACAGUCCCCAGAGCUUUCUGAAAGUCUACCUCUCAGAAUAUAAUCCUCAAAUUGGCUUGAAAUUUUUGCAUUUUUUUCCUUAAACUGUUGAUGAAUUUUUCUGUUGACAGAGCUGUACAUAAAAGCACUUUGAUCCUGGUUGAUUCCUGUCCAUAGGAACCACAAGGCCUGGCAGUUACCACAAAAAAAAGAAAAAAAAAUACCAGCUGAGGAAUGGCAGCAGAAGAGAUUAAACCAAGAAAGCACUUUUACACAGAAGCCUUGCCUAGUUCUUAGAGCAGUAACUUUUGCUUUGCUGUAACUUGAACAUGAGAGAGAUCCGACACAACUGUCCCAAAGGAAUAUGUAACAAGAGAACCCUGUUCCCUUGUAUUCUCACUGACUACCUUCUUGACUGCCCAGUUUUUACCUGCAUUUCUGCAUGUUCCAACGGUAGUACAAUUGAUAAUUUGAGGAAUUUCUUCUAAUUAUAACCUCAAACUUCCUGGCUUUUCUGUGAGUGAUGGAUGCUUCUGAGGGGUAGGUCUCCUUGAGAAGGUGACUUUAGAGUGAAAACUUGAAGAUGAGGGAGCAACCCUGUGUACACCUUGAGGAAGAGACUUCCAGACAGCAGGAGCGCUCUUUGCAAAGGCCCUGAGGCAGGAGCAUGCUUGGCAUAUUUGAGGAACAGUGAGGAGUCAAGGACAAGUUAAAUAUUGGAGAGGAUCAUCAAAGGAGUAAGUCCUUCCCUUGAGAGCAGUUGAGGAUACGAGAGGGUCAUCUCUGUCUGCAAGCAACAUUCUUCUCCAGGUGAUCCAUUUAUGUAUUUUUCUAGUCCACAAUCCUAGAAGUAAACUAUAAAUAAGGAGCAACUGUUGUAAAAAUACUUUUUAUACUCUUUCAGUGUUGGCUUGUUAUCUCUGGGAAGGAAAAUUUUGCUACUGAAAUUUCAUGUUUGUCACUCUGAAAGUGGGUUGGAAUCAGCCUGGCUGCUGAUGGGACUAUACCGACGUUUCCAGUUGGGAGUCAGUGUCUGAGGCAUAUGCUGCUCUUCAUGCCCUGCUCUUAUCUCUCGGGCAAGCCUCACUAUUUCAGUGAGACCAGCCAUAUCUGCCAGUAUUUUCUCCAAAGACAAGGAUGUCUACUUUGCCUGGGCAUAUGGCAGGUGGAAGGGCCAGGGGAUUGACACUCCAGGAGUAGCCCUCACCAAUGACUGUUGGAGUUGGUGGAUGAGUUCUUGAACUUCUUUACUCCUUGGGUGAGAAGAUAUUCAUUUACACUCUUUUCCCAUGGGAACCAUCCCAGUCACUCACAUGGGACUGGCUUGAUAAUUCACCUUUAUUGGCUGACUUAUCUUCCUUGGCUCCUUUCCCCUACUCCCCCUCCAGUGUUUGGGGUCACCUCUCAAGUAAAUGGCUUGCAUUAAAAAUUCUUGUUUCAGAGUCUGCUUUGGGGGGAGCCAAACUGAGGCAGGGUGUCAGUGGCUUUCUUUUGUAAUUUAUUUAUUUUCCAGCUUAAUUGACAUAUAAUUGACACACAAUUGUGUAAGUUUAAGGUGAAAAAUGUAUUGAUUUGAUAACACAUAUAUAUUGCAUCUUUCAUGUUUUCAUCACAAUACAGAUCAUAAGAGAUUUGAUGCAAAUGGGAAAGGAUGGGAUUUAUGGGGGAACUGGAAAGAAGAAUGUCCAUUCAUUUUAAUUACAAACAUGUUAUUUAAUACAGGCAUACCUUGGAGAUAUGGCAGGUUUGGUUCCAGACCACCGCAAUAAAGUGAAUACAGCAGUAAAGCAAGUCACACGAAUUUUUUGUAUUCCCAGUACAUAUAUAAAAGUUAUGUUACAUUGUACUGUAGUGUAUUAAGUGUGCAACAGCAUUAUGUCUAAAAAAAUAAUAUACAGACCUUAAUUAGAAAAUACUUUAUUGCUAAAAAAUGCCAACCAUAUUCUGAGCCCUCAGUGAGUCCUAAUCUUUUUGCUGGUGGAGGCUCUUGCCUCGAUGCUGACGGCUGCUCACUGAUGAGGGUGGUGGCUGCUGAAGCUUGGGGUGGCCGUGACAGCUUCAUAAAAUAAGACACCAGUGAAGUUUGCUGCACUGAUUGACACUUCCUUCCACAGACAAUUUCUCUGCAGCAUGUAAUGCUGUUUGACAGCAUUUUACCCAUAGUAGAACUUCUUUAAAAAUUAGAGUCAAUCCUUUCAAACCCUGCUGCUGCUUUAUCAACUAAGUUUAUGUAAUACUGUAAAUCCUCUGUUGGCAUGUCAAUAAUUUUCACAGCAUCUUCACCAGGAGUAGAUUUUAGCUCAAGAAACUACUUUCUUUGCUCAUCCUCAUUCAUUAAAAUUUUAUCGUGAGAUUGCAGCAAUUCAGCCACAUCUUCAGGCUCCACUUCUAAUUCUAGUUCUCUUGCUAUUUCUGCCACAUCUGCAGUCACUUCCUCCACUGAAGUCUUGAACCCCUUAAAGUCAUCAAUGAGGGUUGGAAUCAACUUCUAAACUCUUGUUAAUGUUGGUAUAUUGACCUCUUCCCAGGAAUCACAAAUGUUGUUAAUGGCAUCCAGAAUGAUGAAUCCUUAUCAGAAGGUUUUCAGUUGACUUUGUCCAGAUCCAUCAGAGGAAUCACUAUGGCAGCUAUAGCCUUAUGAAAUUUACUACUUAAAUAAUAAGACUUGAAGUUGAAAUAACUUGUUGAUCCAUGGGAUGCAGAGUGGAUUUUUAUUUGUUAAUAGACAUGGAAACAGCAUUAAUCUGUUGUAACACCUCCAUCAGAGCUGUUGGGUGAUCAGGUGCAUUGUCAUUGAGCAGUAGUAUUUUGAAAGGAAUUUUUUCUGAGCAGUAGAUCUCAACAGUGGGCUUAAAAUAUUCAGUAAAUCAUGUUGUCAACAGAUGUGCUGUCAUCCAGGCUUUGUUAUUCCAUUUAUAGAGUACAGGCAGAGUAGAUUUAGCAUAAAUCUUUUUUUUUCUUUAGCAUAAUUCUUAAGGGCAGUAAAGUUUUCAGAAUGGUAAAUGAACAUGGGCUUCUACUUAAAGACACCAGCUGCAUUAGCCCCUAAUAAGAGAGUCAGCCUGUCUUUGAAGCCAGGCAUUGACUUCUCCUCUUUAGCUAUGAAAGUCCUAGAUGGCAUCUUAUUCCGAUAGAAGGCUGUUUUAUCUACAUCGAAAAUCUGUUGUUUAGUGUAGCCACCCUCAUUUAUGAUCUUAGCUAGAUCUCCUUGAUAACUUGCUGCAGCUUCUACAUCAGCACCUGCUGUUUCACUUUGCACUUCUAUCUUACGGAGACAGCUUCUUCCCUUAAACCUCAUGAACCAACCUCUGCUAGCUUCAAACCUUUCCUCUGCAGCUUCCUCACCUCUCUCAGCCUUCACAGAAUUGAAGAGAGUUAGGGCUUUGCUCUGGAUCAGGCUUUGGCUUAAAGAAAUGUUCAUGGCACCCCAAAACAAUUACAAUAGUAACAUCAAAGUCACUGAUCACAGAUCAUCAUAACAAAUAUAAUAAUAAUGAAAAAGUUUGAAAUAUUUAGAGAAUUACCAAAAUGUGAUACAGAGACACAAAGUGAGCAAAUGCUGUUUAAAAAAAAAUGGCACUGAUAGACUUGCUUGAUGCAUAGUUGCCACAAACAUUCAAUUUGUUAAAACACGGCAUCUGUGAAACAAUAAAGCAAAGGGCAAUAAAAUGAGGCAUACCUUUACUAGGUGCCAGACACUGGGCUAAACACUGGUGGCAUAAGACAUGGGUCCUGCCCUGGAGAGACUCACAUUCUAUUAGGAAACACAGACAUAGCAAUCCUUCAUUAAAAUCCAAGGUGACCCAUGACUUAUUUAAGCAAACUGAGUGCAAAGUACUUAUGGGAGUACAGAUGGGAAAGAAGUCCAGAAGGCUGGUGGAGGUGUACUUCAAAUUCUGUGAUAUUUCUACUAAAGGAUGAGUAGGACUUUGGUAGAAUAAGGUUGAGAAGAGCCUUCUAAGCAGGGAAAACAUCUUGCGUAGAGCUUGAAGAUGCGUGAAGUGUUUGAACAGUUGGAGAAAAGUUUAUUGUGGGGUAGAAAAGUGGCAGGAGAUAAGGCUGAGAGAGUGGAAGAGCCUGAACAUGUAAGUUGUAGAACAGAUGAUAGCAUGGGGAAGGACUUGAUGCAUCAGAAAAAGCAAGUGCCAUCAUGCCUUGUUCCAACACUGCCUUUUCUGUAUGUCUCCAGGGCAAGAGAAAAGGGAGAGAAGAAGAAAAUUCACAAGAGAGGCUGUGUAUUUUCAGCUACCAUUCAUGAAUGAUGAUCAGUUGCCAGGCCCUUCCCAAACCUUAUCCCAUUUUAUCCUCUUGAGAAGCCUUUGAGAUAGGACUAUUAAGACCUUUCACUGGUGAGGACAUUGAGGAUCAGAAGAGGUCUAGAGAAUUUUAAAGUUCAGAGUUCAUGAUUGCCUGAUUCCAAAGCCAUUAACCACUGCAUUAUACUACUUCUCUUUUCGAAGAAGCAAAUGUGGGGUGGACAGAAGUUGCUGUGAUUGUUAUUGUCUGGAUUGGUGCAACAGCUAGGUGGAGGCCACUGAAAGGAGAGGCCCAGUUGCUGACUUCUGCUUAUCUGGGGCAACAAAGAAACCAGAAGGAGUAGCCAUCAUGUUGAAAGUCAUUUGUUUUUAUUAUUUACUUUGGUGAAGUCUCCAAGAAGUAUUUUGGAUUUGGAGUAUUUGUUUGUUCAAUAAAUUCAUUCUUAGCAAUUGCUAAAAUCAUCCAACGGAGGAAGAAAGAAUAAAAAAUUAACUUAAGUCACAACAAUGGCAAUGCCAGUGCUAUAGAGCAAGUGAGUUUUGGCCUGUGGUUAAUCACUUCCUCUAAGAGCCCUCAUACAGUACCACCGUUAAUUCUACAGCACUUCAAAGUUUAUCUUUUCUUUUGUAAAAGCCUUAAAUAAACAAAAUCAUAGCUUUUCUGCUAUGUUCCCAGCA
Molecule: RNA transcript, 8156 nt
Organism: Orcinus orca (killer whale)
Lineage: Eukaryota; Metazoa; Chordata; Mammalia; Artiodactyla; Delphinidae
Gene name: cytochrome c oxidase assembly protein COX18, mitochondrial
Exons: 9
Source: RefSeq, a predicted model, not a curated record